CGCAAGCCUGACGGAGCAAGACCGCGUGGGGGAGGAAUGCCUUAGGGUUGUAAACCCCUUUUAUCUGGGAAGAACAAAAUGACGGUACCUGAGGAAUCAGCCUCGGCUAACUCCGUGCCAGGAGCCGCGGUAAUACGGAGGAGGCAGGCGUUAUCCGGAAUUAUUGGGCGUAAAGCGUCCGCAGGUGGCGAUUCAAGUCUGCUGUCAAAACCCAGGGCUCAACUCUGGUCAGGCAGUGGAAACUACAUAGCUAGAGUUCGGUAGGGGCAAAGGGAAUUCCCGGUGUAGCGGUGAAAUGCGUAGAGAUCGGGAAGAACAUCGGUGGCGAAAGCGCUUUGCUAGACCGAAACUGACACUCAGGGACGAAAGCUAGGGGAGCG
This 380-nucleotide ribosomal RNA is filed under the name uncultured cyanobacterium. Its description in RNAcentral is "bacterial SSU rRNA". It matches the Rfam family "Bacterial small subunit ribosomal RNA", at positions 376 to 770 of the family's 1533-position model. The record is from RNAcentral. Lineage: Bacteria; Bacillati; Cyanobacteriota.